Molecule: non-coding RNA, 1372 nt
Organism: Myodes glareolus (Bank vole)
Lineage: Eukaryota; Metazoa; Chordata; Mammalia; Rodentia; Cricetidae
Source: RefSeq, a predicted model, not a curated record
AUUACUCCUGGCAGCACUGAUCUAAUCUUGAGAGAAUAUUGAGCACUGAAGACACUCCACUUGAAGUUCGUUUUCUUGGAAAAACUGGACUUUGGGCAAAGAUCUGCCCCUGCCUUGACUACUGACAAAAUGCACAGUGUCCAAACUGGAGAAGCAUGAUACAAACAAAACAACUGUCAAACCUUGCCAAGAAAGGGUAAGGCAGUUUUUCAAAUUUUCCUGCCUCUGUCAAUGGUAUGUCAGAUACAAUAGGCAUUCCUAGAAACAAUGCUUUUUUUUUUCUAAGAAUAAUCUCAACAGAACACCCCUCCCUUCUGGAUUAUGCAGAAGGUGGCAUAGGCAGACAUUGGACUAAUGAAUAUAGAUCAACAAGGCACAGCCAAGGUAACCCUUUGAAGUCAGGAAAUGCCUUGAGGGGAUGCUCGCAGGCUGCCAUGUUGUAUUUGGUUCAGUCAUUUCUUGUAUCGUGAAGGAAACUCCUUCCCAGAGCAAUUAAAGUAUCUAAUGCCUAUUGUAAAGAAAAAAAUAGAACAGCUGUAGAAGAGAUAAGAUGAAAAUUCCAGGAGAAGCAAUAAAGUAAAUAUUAUAAAGAUUAUAUUUAACCAAAAGAGACCUCUUGAUUAAAAAAUGUGAUAGUUCAUCAAGCAGCAUGACAGUCAAUCUAAACUAACUUAUGUGACUAACCAAUGCUUCUCAUUUGAUCCUACAUAACUUGCCAACUACCCAAAAUUAAAGUUGGAGUGUAGUUUUACUUUUGUCUUACAGAGAAUGAAGGCUUCCAACUAAGGAAUCUGAAGACCACUGGACAAAUGAGACAUGUGAAGAACCAUCAAAAGAUACUGUCCCAAGAAAAAAAGAGCCCCUAAAGAUGCCAUUGUCACCAGACAACAUGAAGUAAACUUAAGAACAUGACACUUACGUUCCCGAGGUGGGCACCAUUCACUUCAGAGAUGAUGAUGGGAAUUGAAGAAACUUCAUAUAGAGUUUAUUUUCUUUGUCAUAAAAGUUAAUCACUGGACAAGAAAGUGCCCUUGCCUGGACUAAUGAUAGAAUGCUGUCCCAACUGGAGAAAUAGGAAACAAAGACAAAACUGCUAAACUUUGCAAAGACAAGGUAAGACAGUUCUUCAGAAUAUCCUGUUUCACAGAUAAGUUUGUCAUAUUUUCUGGACCUGUAUGUCAAAGAUGGAUGUCCCAACAAUACAGAGGAAGAUUUGAUGACUAUCCAGGUAGCCAGAUGCUUCUGUCAUUUCACAAAUAUUUUGGAAACCACUUGCUUGUACUUCCUGCUUACUCUGUUAAUACUAUUUCCUUCUCUGGACUCUGAACAAGUUCAAGAUAUAAAUAGAUAUAGUUACGGAUUUCCUUGUUAA